CCUACGGGAGGCAGCAGUGGGGAAUUUUGGACAAUGGGCGCAAGCCUGAUCCAGCCAUGCCGCGUGCAGGAUGAAGGCCUUCGGGUUGUAAACUGCUUUUGUACGGAACGAAAAGACUCUGGUUAAUACCUGGGGUUCAUGACGGUACCGUAAGAAUAAGCACCGGCUAACUACGUGCCAGCAGCCGCGGUAAUACGUAGGGUGCGAGCGUUAAUCGGAAUUACUGGGCGUAAAGCGUGCGCAGGCGGUUAUAUAAGACAGAUGUGAAAUCCCCGGGACUCAACCUGGGAACUGCAUUUGUGACUGUAUAGCUAGAGUACGGUAGAGGGGGAUGGAAUUCCGCGUGUAGCAGUGAAAUGCGUAGAUAUGCGGAGGAACACCGAUGGCGAAGGCAAUCCCCUGGACCUGUACUGACGCUCAUGCACGAAAGCGUGGGGAGCAAACAGGAUUAGAUACCCUGGUAGUCCACGCCCUAAACGAUGUCAACUGGUUGUUGGGUCUUCGACUGACUCAGUAACGAAGCUAACGCGUGAAGUUGACCGCCUGGGGAGUACGGCCGCAAGGUUGAAACUCGAAAUGAAUUGACGG
RNAcentral lists this ribosomal RNA (588 nucleotides) under uncultured bacterium. Its description in RNAcentral is "bacterial SSU rRNA". It matches the Rfam family "Bacterial small subunit ribosomal RNA", at positions 338 to 916 of the family's 1533-position model. The record is from RNAcentral.